This 138-nucleotide non-coding RNA is filed under the name uncultured Bacteroides sp. RNAcentral's name for it is "Bacteroidete tryptophan peptide leader RNA". It matches the Rfam family "Bacteroidete tryptophan peptide leader RNA". Lineage: Bacteria; Pseudomonadati; Bacteroidota; Bacteroidia; Bacteroidales; Bacteroidaceae. The record is from RNAcentral.
AAACUAAGAAAAAGAAAUGAAAACAAUGUUAGUUAAUACAUAUUGGUGGUGGCACCCGUUAAGAUUCCUACAGUCGUAAGGAAGCAGUGCUCGUAUGUAUAUACUAUAAAAGUUAACAAAUAAACGAAGAGCCCUGUC